This 72-nucleotide transfer RNA is filed under the name Equus caballus (horse). It matches the Rfam family "tRNA". From Rfam's summary of the family: Transfer RNA (tRNA) molecules are approximately 80 nucleotides in length. Their secondary structure includes four short double-helical elements and three loops (D, anti-codon, and T loops). The record is from Rfam by way of RNAcentral. Lineage: Eukaryota; Metazoa; Chordata; Mammalia; Perissodactyla; Equidae.
AGUUCCAUGGUGUAAUAGUGAGCACUCUGGACUCUGAAUGCUGUGACCUGAGUUCAAGCCUUGGUGGGAUCU